GGGUUGUGAGGUUAAGCGACUAAGCGUACACGGUGGAUGCCCUGGCAGUCAGAGGCGAUGAAGGGCGUGCUAAUCUGCGAUAAGCGCCGGUAAGGUGAUAUGAACCGUUAUAACCGGCGAUACCCGAAUGGGGAAACCCAGUGUGACUCGUCACACUAUCAUUAACUGAAUCCAUAGGUUAAUGAGGCGAACCGGGGGAACUGAAACAUCUAAGUACCCCGAGGAAAAUAAAUCAACCGAGAUUCCCCCAGUAGCGGCGAGCGAACGGGGAGGAGCCCAGAGCCUGAAUCAGCAUGUGUGUUAGUGGAAGCGUCUGGAAAGGCGCGCGAUACAGGGUGACAGCCCCGUACACAAAAGCGCAUGUGCUGUGAGCUCGAUGAGUAGGGCGGGACACGUGGUAUCCUGUCUGAAUAUGGGGGGACCAUCCUCCAAGGCUAAAUACUCCUGACUGACCGAUAGUGAACCAGUACCGUGAGGGAAAGGCGAAAAGAACCCCGGCGAGGGGAGUGAAAAAGAACCUGAAACCGUGUACGUACAAGCAGUGGGAGCCCCACCACCAAAGCAUUCUCUGGUGUUGAAGGCCCUGCAAAGCAGCAUCGCGGUGGCGGAGCGUCGUUUGCGACGCCCAACACACAAAACAAGCGGUGAGUGCUUUGGGGUGGGGUGACUGCGUACCUUUUGUAUAAUGGGUCAGCGACUUAUAUUCUGUAGCAAGGUUAACCGAAUAGGGGAGCCGGAGGGAAACCGAGUCUUAAUUGGGCGUUAAGUUGCAGGGUAUAGACCCGAAACCCGGUGAUCUAGCCAUGGGCAGGUUGAAGGUUGGGUAACACUAACUGGAGGACCGAACCGACUAAUGUUGAAAAAUUAGCGGAUGACCUGUGGCUGGGGGUGAAAGGCCAAUCAAACCGGGAGAUAGCUGGUUCUCCCCGAAAGCUAUUUAGGUAGCGCCUCGUGAAUUCAUCUCCGGGGGUAGAGCACUGUUUCGGCUAGGGGGUCAUCCCGACUUACCAACCCGAUGCAAACUGCGAAUACCGGAGAAUGUUAUCACGGGAGACACACGGCGGGUGCUAACGUCCGUCGUGAAGAGGGAAACAACCCAGACCGCCAGCUAAGGUCCCAAAGUCAUGGUUAAGUGGGAAACGAUGUGGGAAGGCCCAGACAGCCAGGAUGUUGGCUUAGAAGCAGCCAUCAUUUAAAGAA
This 1200-nucleotide ribosomal RNA is filed under the name Salmonella enterica. RNAcentral describes it as "partial 23S ribosomal RNA". It matches the Rfam family "Bacterial large subunit ribosomal RNA", at positions 1 to 1130 of the family's 2925-position model. Lineage: Bacteria; Pseudomonadati; Pseudomonadota; Gammaproteobacteria; Enterobacterales; Enterobacteriaceae. The record is from RNAcentral.